This 403-nucleotide ribosomal RNA is filed under the name uncultured bacterium. RNAcentral's name for it is "bacterial SSU rRNA". It matches the Rfam family "Bacterial small subunit ribosomal RNA", at positions 29 to 422 of the family's 1533-position model. The record is from RNAcentral.
AACGAACGCUGGCGGCGCGCCUAAUACAUGCAAGUCGAGCGAGAAGACGUAGCAAUACGUUUGUAAAGCGGCGAACGGGUGAGGAAUACAUGGGUAACCUACCCUCGAGUGGGGAAUAACUAGCCGAAAGGUUAGCUAAUACCGCGUACGCUCCUUGGACUUCGGUUCAGGGAGGAAAGCGAUACCGUGGGUAUCGCGCUCUUGGAUGGGCUCAUGUCCUAUCAGCUUGUUGGUGAGGAACGGCUCACCAAGGCUUCGACGGGUAGCUGGUCUGAGAGGACGAUCAGCCACACUGGCACUGCGACACGGGGCCAGACUCCUACGGGAGGCAGCAGUAAGGAAUAUUGCGCAAUGGGCGAAAGCCUGACGCAGCGACGCCGCGUGGGGGAUGAAGGUCUUCGGA